GAUGAACGCUGGCGGCGUGCCUAAUACAUGCAAGUCGAACGAAACUUCUUUAUCACCGAGUGCUUGCACACACCGAUAAAGAGUUGAGUGGCGAACGGGUGAGUAACACGUGGGCAACCUGCCCAAAAGAGGGGGAUAACACUUGGAAACAGGUGCUAAUACCGCAUAACCAUAGUUACCGCAUGGUAACUAUGUAAAAGGUGGCUAUACUACCGCUUUUGGAUGGGCCCGCGGCGCAUUAGCUAGUUGGUAGGGUAAAGGCUUACCAAGGCAAUGAUGCGUAGCCGAAUUGAGAGGUUGAUCGGCCACAUUGGGACUGAGACACGGCCCAAACUCCUACGGGAGGCAGCAGUAGGGAAUCUUCCACAAUGGGCGAAAGCCUGAUGGAGCAACGCCGCGUGGGUGAAGAAGGUCUUCGGAUCGUAAAACCCUGUUGUUAGAGAAGAAAGUGCGUGAGAGUAACUGUUCACGUUUCGACGGUAUCUAACCAGAAAGCCACGGCUAACUACGUG
RNAcentral lists this ribosomal RNA (512 nucleotides) under uncultured bacterium. Its description in RNAcentral is "partial 16S ribosomal RNA". It matches the Rfam family "Bacterial small subunit ribosomal RNA", at positions 28 to 507 of the family's 1533-position model. The record is from RNAcentral.